AGGGUGUAAACGCUGCGGGCUUGGUGUUGGGGGUCCUUAGUGGGCGCCCAGUGCCGGAGAGAAGUUGUUAAGCCUGCUGCUUGGGGAGUAUGUCCGCAAGGAUGAAACUUAAAGGAAUUGGCGGGGGAGCACCGCAACGGGAGGAGCGUGCGGUUCAAUUGGAUUCAACGCCGAAAAACUCACCAGGAGCGACGGAUAUAUGAAGGUCAAGCUGAUGACUUUACCUGAUUUCCGAGAGGUGGUGCAUGGCGUAGUCGUGU
RNAcentral lists this ribosomal RNA (260 nucleotides) under uncultured archaeon. RNAcentral's name for it is "partial 16S ribosomal RNA". It matches the Rfam family "Archaeal small subunit ribosomal RNA", at positions 748 to 1009 of the family's 1478-position model. The record is from RNAcentral.